Molecule: ribosomal RNA, 942 nt
Filed under: bacterium RK84_tank
Lineage: Bacteria
Description: bacterial SSU rRNA
Rfam family: Bacterial small subunit ribosomal RNA
Source: RNAcentral
GUGAGGGAUGACGGCUUCGGGUUGUAAACCUCUUUCACCAGGGACGAAGCGCAAGUGACGGUACCUGGAGAAGAAGCACCGGCCAACUACGUGCCAGCAGCCGCGGUAAUACGUAGGGUGCGAGCGUUGUCCGGAAUUACUGGGCGUAAAGAGCUCGUAGGCGGUUUGUCGCGUCGUCUGUGAAAUUCUGCAACUCAAUUGUAGGCGUGCAGGCGAUACGGGCAGACUUGAGUACUACAGGGGAGACUGGAAUUCCUGGUGUAGCGGUGAAAUGCGCAGAUAUCAGGAGGAACACCGGUGGCGAAGGCGGGUCUCUGGGUAGUAACUGACGCUGAGGAGCGAAAGCGUGGGUAGCGAACAGGAUUAGAUACCCUGGUAGUCCACGCCGUAAACGGUGGGUACUAGGUGUGGGUUCCUUUUCACGGGAUCCGUGCCGUAGCUAACGCAUUAAGUACCCCGCCUGGGGAGUACGGCCGCAAGGCUAAAACUCAAAGGAAUUGACGGGGGCCCGCACAAGCGGCGGAGCAUGUGGAUUAAUUCGAUGCAACGCGAAGAACCUUACCUGGGUUUGACAUACACCAGACGCAUGUAGAGAUACAUGUUCCCUUGUGGUUGGUGUACAGGUGGUGCAUGGCUGUCGUCAGCUCGUGUCGUGAGAUGUUGGGUUAAGUCCCGCAACGAGCGCAACCCUUGUCCUGUAUUGCCAGCGGGUUAUGCCGGGGACUUGCAGGAGACUGCCGGGGUCAACUCGGAGGAAGGUGGGGAUGACGUCAAGUCAUCAUGCCCCUUAUGUCCAGGGCUUCACACAUGCUACAAUGGCUGGUACAGAGGGCUGCGAGACCGUGAGGUGGAGCGAAUCCCUUAAAGCCAGUCUCAGUUCGGAUUGGGGUCUGCAACUCGACCCCAUGAAGUCGGAGUCGCUAGUAAUCGCAGAUCAGCAAC